Long non-coding RNA from Hydractinia symbiolongicarpus, 1886 nucleotides. RefSeq lists it as uncharacterized. The record is from RefSeq and is a predicted model, not a curated record. NCBI's taxonomy places the organism in Eukaryota, Metazoa, Cnidaria, Hydrozoa, Anthoathecata, Hydractiniidae. The transcript has 2 exons.
UCUUUACAGAUUAAAGGAGAGGAGAAUAGCCGCGGCACGGUUGCUGAUUGAAAAUUCAUGAUGCCUGAGAUAAUUUCAAAGACCAUGUCCGCUGGUGUGGAAUAUCUCGUAAAAAUCUUGACAAUUGUAUAGUUUUAAUACUUAGUUAGCAUCAAAUCAGAAAUUCCCAGGUAUCUCAUUGCAUAAAAAGCCAAAUCCAGUGAGAAUGAUGUGCACCGGAUCUUAAUUUUAUUACAAUGGACUUUUAACAGAGUAAACUAGACGCUGUUUUUACUUGAAGUUUAGUGUUUAUUAAACUGUCGCUGAUCUCAGACAAUGUUUACAUUAUGAUAAAGAAGUUCAUGAGGUACUUAAAGGGAGACAAGGUUCUAUUACGUUGUUUUGUAGAGAUAUAACCUAGAGAUAUUAUUAAAAGAGAAAAAAACACAACGGCUAUUCAAGCUAUUGUAGUAGGCGCGUCCCUGAAGCAGGUGGUGCAUUUAUGAAAAUUUAAAGUUCCCGAAGCUGGUUGUUUUCCCUGAUCCAAUCAUGUCAAAGAAAACGUUUCGAUUGUUAUUUCGCCCACUCAGGGUUGAUAAAUGUUCGCAAAAUUUAAUAUUUUGUAAUAAUUAACUGCAUGUGUUAGCAUAAUUUAGACUCGUUAAAACGAUUUUGCAAUACACCAAAGAAAAUUGUCGUAAAGAAAUAUACUUAAAAUUAAAAACAAUUACGCUGAGAAUGGUUGAAAAAUAAGAAAACAAUAAGAACAUAGAGAGAGCUGAAGUUUUAUUAAUAAGACUCUUAAAAAACACAAACACAUACUCGAAAACAUGAAGAACAACUUUCAUGGAAAUAUUUUCACUGAAUCAAUUGUUACAUUAUUCGAAACGUGUAUAUACUUAUAAACGUGAUGUUACAUUGCAAAUACUUGCAACAUACGUACAACAAAAUAAAUUUAUAAUGCUCAAAAUAUAGAAACAUAAGAACAAUUUCAAGCUAAACAUAUCAAAAACAACUCAAGGUAAAGCCAAAGAUCAAAAAAGUGUAUAUCAAGCUUUGCUACAGUACAUACUAAUAACAUUUUUAUAAGAACAAAUAUAUACGACUAAAGCAAACUUUCUAACUUUCCAGGUGUCGCACCGUUCAUCCUGUUUCAAUAAAAUAUUAUCAAUCCAUUUCCAUUUCAAUUAAAAACUGUUAUGUGUUGGUAUUUUGUGUAUAGCUAUCUCGAAAAUGUUUGUAUAACUUGAUUUAGCUAGCACUGAUUAAAAAUGGAUCUUUCAAGACAAUACUUUUGUCCAAAACAUAAUAAAACUCAACAUGUCUGGUGUAUAUCGAUAAUUAUCUUCACUGUUAAUCAAUAUUUUCAUCUGGUAUGACUUGUAGAUUUUUUUAAAAAAUCAGUAGCUUGGAUUGCAUACACAUACAUGUUUGUGUUAAAAACAUAGUCAUUCGAAUUUUCAUACAACGGUCCUGGUAAUGCUGAUCUGGUUUUCUAACGCUGUGUAGCUGAUCAAGGUUUUCUACCUCUAUACUGAGUUUGUAAAACGUGUGUUUGAAAUGAAAAGUGUGUGAAAUCCCGAAAUGCAAUUCCUUGUAACAUACCAUGCGGACGAUAGUUGGAAGAAGGCGCUUGAAGAUAAAGGAGUUAUAAAGUAUAUAUAUAAGUUAUUUAUCAAGUAAAUCUUAUUUUAAACUAUUAAAAAAAGUUCUUUUAAGAACUUUGCUACCACAUAGUAAGUUAUUUUAAUUUUUAUAGUUUUUUGAAUCAUUAGUGUCUGUUUUUCUUUUCUUUUUCGGGCAUUGUUCGGGUCUCUUCGGGGUUUUUCGGGCAAAUACCUGAUUUUUUUUAAAACGCCGAACUCGCCCGAAAACGCCCGCACUUUUUACGGCGUAUGCAGCUUAUC